GGGAGAUUAAAUCCGGUGAGUUUCGGGAGUAGUUGAGGGAUUGUAAAAGCGAGAACAGGAUUCGAAUCCUUGAUCUGUUUAGCGAUUUCGCUGUUCGUGUUGAGUGGAUUCGUUGUAGUGAUUAUAGCUCCUAGUGACAUAACGGCGAGACAAAUAAUAGGGAAGAAAAUGGAAUUAGGAGAAAGGAGAAGAACAACAUCACCUUUACGAAUACUCAUAUCAACUGAUAAACUAGUAGCUAACGACUCAACGGCGUUCCAUACGUCGGAGAAACUGAGUUUCCGACCAGUCGUAGCAUCGAUGAAAGCGAUUUUCCCGCUAUGUGCUCGUGAAGAAAUGAAAGUUGUUACAUCAAUAGAUUCAUUCGCCGGAAACGGAAUUGGUCUACGUUUGCUGUAGAAAGUUGAAUUCGCCGGUGAAUAGCCGGAUUUUGGAUCGACGGUAGAAUUAUUGUUAUACUGUGCCAUCAUCGGGAUUCUCCGUCUAUAGUUAAG
This 494-nucleotide unclassified non-coding RNA is filed under the name Hevea brasiliensis (rubber tree). The record is from RNAcentral. Lineage: Eukaryota; Viridiplantae; Streptophyta; Magnoliopsida; Malpighiales; Euphorbiaceae.